Molecule: ribosomal RNA, 254 nt
Filed under: uncultured bacterium
Lineage: Bacteria
Description: partial 16S ribosomal RNA
Rfam family: Bacterial small subunit ribosomal RNA
Source: RNAcentral
UACGGAGGGUGCAAGCGUUAAUCGGAAUUACUGGGCGUAAAGCGUGCGUAGGCGGUUCGUUAAGUCUGUUGUGAAAGCCCCCGGGCUCAACCUGGGAAUGGCAAUGGAUACUGGCGAGCUAGAGUGUGUCAGAGGAUGGUGGAAUUCCCGGUGUAGCGGUGAAAUGCGUAGAGAUCGGGAGGAACAUCAGUGGCGAAGGCGGCCAUCUGGGACAACACUGACGCUGAGGCACGAAAGCGUGGGGAGCAAACAGG